Molecule: long non-coding RNA, 236 nt
Organism: Corapipo altera (White-ruffed manakin)
Lineage: Eukaryota; Metazoa; Chordata; Aves; Passeriformes; Pipridae
Exons: 3
Source: RefSeq, a predicted model, not a curated record
UCUGAUGGGGUUUAGAGAUUUUUGGCUUUGCUUGUGAGCCAUCCCUAAAUGUUUGAGAGCUCAGUGUUUGAACAUUUACCCCUUUCAUUUGCAGGGGAGGCCUUGGGAGCAGCUGAAGAGAGAGGAGCCUUCUAGGUAUCCUAGAAGAUGACAGCACAUUGUCCAAGUCUGGUCAGAGCCAGUGACACGAGGACCUGCCUCGGUGCUGUUGACUCCGAGUACUCUCCCGAUACCAG